RNAcentral lists this ribosomal RNA (456 nucleotides) under uncultured Methanomicrobiales archaeon. RNAcentral describes it as "bacterial SSU rRNA". It matches the Rfam family "Archaeal small subunit ribosomal RNA", at positions 881 to 1338 of the family's 1478-position model. Lineage: Archaea; Methanobacteriati; Methanobacteriota; Methanomicrobia; Methanomicrobiales. The record is from RNAcentral.
ACAACAGGUGGAGCCUGCGGUUAAUCGGACUCAACGCCGGGAAACUCACCAGAUAAGACAGCUGAAUGAUAGUCGGGCUGAAGACUCUACUUGACUAGCUGAGAGGAGGUGCAUGGCCGUCGUCAGUUCGUACUGUGAAGCAUCCUGUUAAGUCAGGCAACGAGCGAGACCCACGCCAACAGUUGCCAGCUCGUCCUCCGGGAUGGUGGGGACACUGUUGGGACCGCCUCUGCUAAAGAGGAGGAAGGAAUGGGCAACGGUAGGUCAGCAUGCCCCGAAUUAUCUGGGCUACACGCGGGCUGCAAUGGGUGGGACAAUGGGUAUCGACACCGAAAGGUGAAGGCAAUCCCUAAACCCAUCCGUAGUUCGGAUUGUGGGCUGCAACUCGCCCACAUGAAGCUGGAAUCCGUAGUAAUCGUGUCUCAAAAUGGCACGGUGAAUAUGUCCCUGCUCCUU